RNAcentral lists this long non-coding RNA (1542 nucleotides) under Ursus maritimus (polar bear). RNAcentral's name for it is "lncRNA (ENSUMAG00000007120.1)". The record is from RNAcentral. Lineage: Eukaryota; Metazoa; Chordata; Mammalia; Carnivora; Ursidae.
GGGCUGCCUACACAGGGUAGCAGCUAGAAGCACUGGCUUGACAACACGGGCCCUUCAUGUCGUUUGGCUAAAGAGCAAAGGCCACCCUGGCUCACAGAAGAACCCCACCAGGCAGACAUAUAGUCGCUUCAGAUGUAACGGAAGGGAGAUGGGCAAGAGGAGGGAAAGUUCUCGGUUAGCAAUGCAGAUGGUAAGGAAGGUGAAGCAGAGGUGAGCAGGGUGGCAGUGUGUGAAGUCUCUGGCUCCUCCCUUUCCUUUCCCUUCCUCCCAGGGUAGCCCUGCCCAGUCCUAGAAGGGGAGCUGCGGUCCUCACCCUCUCUUUGAAGAAGGCAGGCUGGGGAUGCUGCACGGUGGUGGCUUUGACAAAAUUGGUGGUUACGUUAAAAAGGCUGCCUUAGCUCAUGGGCACUGCAGACUGCUCCGGUGGUGGGUUGCUGCUUUACAGACACCGAGCUAAUGCUUGUGGGUCUCCUAUUCCUGAGGUCUGCCACCUCAAAGACACUCGGGGCCGAGGCCCAGUUUGAGGGUGGCGUGGUAGCAGCUGCUCGUGGGGGAGGCUGGCACUGGCCCUGCUUGUCUGGGAGCUCGUGCAGCUCGCUCUGCACAAUGUGUCACUUGCACUGUGCAGAUGAAGAAUGAGCCGCUGGAGUGGGAUCCCAGCUGGGGGACAUGUGAGAUGGCCAUCUUUUAGGCAAAGCCCUAGCAAAGAAGCUGUGCAAGGCCUACCUGCCCAUCGGUGAGAACAUGGACACAUUUUGCAGCAAAGCCUGAAGCAGAGCUGAUAAGGGGAUGCUCCCAGCGGCCCGGGCUGAGGGAAGUGGGUCCCUUAACCACCUCUGUGGCUGGACAGGCCUGAAGCUGAGAAACCACAAGACGAGCCGGGCCCAGGCCCAUCUGGGGUGUGCAGGUCUCCGACAGAAGCAAACCACAUCCAACUUCUUUUGUAAAGGCCGCUACAUCAAGGAACCAGAUCAGGAAAAGCUGACUGGUUUUUACUUGUUAAUGAACAAGUAGCAAGACCCUGGGAUGAGUCCUUGCAGCUAGCAGACACCAGAGAACCAUGAGUUUUUGAGAAUCCUCAUCUUGGCAUUAACAAAGGCAGCGUUCCCUCAGCCUGUCCCUUGGACCAAAGCAAAACGAGUUUCUCUCCCACCAGGCCCUCCUCAAACAUCCGGCUGAGCCACUGUCCAAGGCCGUGCAUGGAGUCUACAUCACACCUCGGGUCGGCUAACCCACCCCACGUGUGCACAGGUCCCACGCACCGUUCACUUGCUACUCUUGGAGACAUAGAGCACAGCAGUACAUGACACAAGGGAUAUUUUCGUUAGUGUCACAGCUAGCUCACUCGGUGGCAGUCACCUUUAGGCUAAAGCAUCAGGAUUCCAGGGAAUACUCACGUUAGUUGAUGGAUGUUGGAAGGCAUUGGAGGAAAACACCAUAGUUAGGACAGUUAAUGACCUACACACGGUUGGUAAGACUGAUCUCGAACAUGCGCAAACAUUUAUCCUAGUAACCAUGGUGCUGGUUAGUGCCACGUUCAAA